RNAcentral lists this ribosomal RNA (497 nucleotides) under uncultured bacterium. RNAcentral describes it as "partial 16S ribosomal RNA". It matches the Rfam family "Bacterial small subunit ribosomal RNA", at positions 28 to 507 of the family's 1533-position model. The record is from RNAcentral.
GACGAACGCUGGCGGCGUGCCUAAUACAUGCAAGUCGAGCGAACAGACGAGGAGCUUGCUCCUCUGACGUUAGCGGCGGACGGGUGAGUAACACGUGGAUAACCUACCUAUAAGACUGGGAUAACUUCGGGAAACCGGAGCUAAUACCGGAUAAUAUAUUGAACCGCAUGGUUCAAUAGUGAAAGACGGUUUUGCUGUCACUUAUAGAUGGAUCCGCGCCGCAUUAGCUAGUUGGUAGGGUAACGGCUUACCAAGGCGACGAUGCGUAGCCGACCUGAGAGGGUGAUCGGCCACACUGGAACUGAGACACGGUCCAGACUCCUACGGGAGGCAGCAGUAGGGAAUCUUCCGCAAUGGGCGAAAGCCUGACGGAGCAACGCCGCGUGAGUGAUGAAGGUCUUCGGAUCGUAAAACUCUGUUAUUAGGGAAGAACAAAUGUGUAAGUAACUAUGCACGUCUUGACGGUACCUAAUCAGAAAGCCACGGCUAACUACGUG